AGAACAGUGCCCGAUCGACAAGGAUCAUCUUGAUGAGAUGAAGCAAAUGAUUUCAUUCAUAUGUUCAA
Molecule: transfer RNA, 68 nt
Filed under: Eosembia sp. FS-2017
Lineage: Eukaryota; Metazoa; Arthropoda; Insecta; Embioptera; Oligotomidae
Description: tRNA-Ile
Source: RNAcentral